RNAcentral lists this ribosomal RNA (441 nucleotides) under uncultured bacterium. RNAcentral describes it as "partial 16S ribosomal RNA". It matches the Rfam family "Bacterial small subunit ribosomal RNA", at positions 338 to 795 of the family's 1533-position model. The record is from RNAcentral.
CCUACGGGUGGCUGCAGUGGGGAAUUUUACACAAUGGGCGAAAGCCUGAUGUAGCAACGCCGCGUGGAGGAUGACGGAUUUAGGUCUGUAAACUCCUUUUAUAGGGGAAGAAAUUUGACGGUACCCUAUGAAUAAGCACCGGCUAACUCCGUGCCAGCAGCCGCGGUAAUACGGGGGGUGCACGCGUUACUCGGAAUCACUGGGCGUAAAGGGAGCGUAGGCGUUCUGUUAAGUCUUGAGUGAAAGCCUGCAGCCUAACUGCAGAACUGCUCAGGAAACUGAUAGAAUUGAGUAUGGAAGAGGUCAGUGGAAUUUCCAGUGUAGGGGUAAAAUCCGUAGAGAUUGGAAGGAAUACCAGAAGCGAAGGCGACUGACUGGGACAUUACUGACGCUGAGGCUCGAAAGCGUGGGGAGCAAACAGGAUUAGAUACCCGAGUAGUC